This is a non-coding RNA of Miniopterus natalensis, 1422 nucleotides long. NCBI's taxonomy places the organism in Eukaryota, Metazoa, Chordata, Mammalia, Chiroptera, Miniopteridae. The record is from RefSeq and is a predicted model, not a curated record.
GACUAUGCCAGUUGACCAUUUUUGACCCUUGAAUAAGUGUAUCAGACACUACUUAUAAUACUGUGUCAUUGCCUCUCUGGAGUGUGAAACUCUUAGAGUUAUUAAAGCCUUGUUUACUUUGUUGGUAACAUUCAUAAAGCAAAAAUACAUACUUUUGUUUCUGUGACUACUAAGCGUUUUCCGAAAGUAUUUCCUUCUGAUUGAAAGAGAAAGUAAGCUGUUGAAAGCAAAAAUGCCUCGCUAUAAGGAGCAGUCCUGUAGUGCCGAGGUAAUAGCUCUAUUAGGCAGUAGGGGAUCCCCCCACCCCCCCCAGCCUCUGGCUUCACCCGUACCCCUGAAGUGCAUCACGCUGCCCAAAUCAAAUUGCUCACUUAAUAUUUAAUGUUUCUGCAACGGAAUCACUUUCUCCCUGGAGGUCGACUUCAGAUUUGCCAGACACGCUGACAACACUGCGCUCCUUAUUUUCCCCACAUGACCUCAGCUUCUGCUUAAAACAUGGACGAAUAAAGGAUGCUUUUGUUCAUAUCUCGCCUGCCUGUGAUAUAUUGACAAAGUGUCUGCGGGCUGAAUGGAAUAGUUUUACAGUGUGAGCGCCGCUUGCAGCGGAGGGGCCGGGCUUGGGCUUCAGAAGGAAGUGAAUUGGAUAGGUCAGGAGAAUGUACCAUUUGGAAACACCCCUUUCCUUUUUUAUUCACGUGUCAGGACAGCAGGGGCAGGCUGCGGGUGCCGGCCCUGCGCAGAGCCCCAGGGAAAAGCGGCUUGGAAGUCAGCUGCAGUCUUUUAAACCUUGCUUUUUUCCCUUCCCCCGGUCACGAUCGUCAAGUGCUCCGACUUGUCGUAGAGGCUGUUUUGAAACUAACAUGGUUUAGUCCACUAACUGCAUGUUGGGUAAAUUCAAAACCCACAUGCUCGUCCCUUGCAGUGGAAUAAGUCACAUCUGAUGGACAUUUUCUGUGCUUAUAGCAUAGUAAUGAACGCCUGACAGGCGCGACCUUUCAUAAGACAGCCCCCACUAUUGGCUUUCUGCCCAGAAUAUUGCUGCAACACUCUCUGUGAUUGGUUAUCUCCCCUAUCAUGCAUUGCUCCACAAGGGGAAACGGCCCCUUUUUUUAAUAAAUCUACGAUGGCUGGCUGCAAUAUGCCUCACCGUUGGUACUAAGAAGUGCCUUUCCUGACGUCUCUGCUGCUUGGAACCGCUUCUAGAGCAGUCUCUGCUUUUGCCUUGCUUGCUGCCAGCUAGACUGACGACAGCACCUCCACCCUCCACCUCUAGCCCAGACACCCCCAUUUCUACCUAGAAUCAAGAGAAAAGCUCUGAGUAUCUGGCAUUGCCCUAGGCUGCUUUAGUUUUAAAAGAAAAGUUUGCUGAAAAAGUAAGAUAUCUUCUGCCAGGAAAUCAAGGAGGAGAAAAAAAAAAAAAAA